CCUACGGGUGGCAGCAGUGAGGAAUAUUGGUCAAUGGACGAGAGUCUGAACCAGCCAAGUAGCGUGAAGGAUGACUGCCCUAUGGGUUGUAAACUUCUUUUAUAUGGGAAUAAAAUGUUCCACGUGUGGGAUUUUGUAUGUACCAUAUGAAUAAGGAUCGGCUAACUCCGUGCCAGCAGCCGCGGUAAUACGGAGGAUCCGAGCGUUAUCCGGAUUUAUUGGGUUUAAAGGGAGCGUAGGUGGAUUGUUAAGUCAGUUGUGAAAGUUUGCGGCUCAACCGUAAAAUUGCAGUUGAAACUGGCAGUCUUGAGUACCGGAGAAGUACGCGGAAUGCGUGGUGUAGCGGUGAAAUGCAUAGAUAUCACGCAGAACCCCGAUUGCGAAGGCAGCGUACCGGCCGGUCACUGACGCUGAGGCACGAAAGCGCGGGUAUCGAACAGGAUUAGAUACCCGAGUAGUC
RNAcentral lists this ribosomal RNA (460 nucleotides) under uncultured bacterium. Its description in RNAcentral is "partial 16S ribosomal RNA". It matches the Rfam family "Bacterial small subunit ribosomal RNA", at positions 338 to 795 of the family's 1533-position model. The record is from RNAcentral.